AAGAAAUCCUGUUUUGCUUGCAAGGCACAAAGCUUGUACAGUCCAUACAGUUGCUCUCAAUAAUUGCAAAGCAAUUUGUCCGCACAUCACCAGAGAGAUUAACAACUGAUCUUUAAUAUUUUUUUUCCAUGAGUCCCCGUAUAGAAUAAUAGAAUCGUAAAACAAUUUAUGUUGGAAAACACCCUUCAGAUCAUCAAGUCCAGCCAUCAAUCUAUCACUACCAAGUCCACCACCUAACCAAGUCCCUAAUCAUCACACUCACAUACAUCUGAAACACCACCAGGGAUGGUGACUCCACCAUUGGGUUCAACAGCUUCAUGAAGAACAGCCUUCAACAUUCUCUGUGACACCAGCCCAGGAUGCCUGGUUCAGAGGCUUCCCUUAGAGAGUGCCCCAGAGCAGAGCAUCUAUGCUAGCAUCAGGAGGUGGGUCCUGCACUCCCAGGGACCCCUCAGCAGCUCUGCAGUGCUUUAGUCAGGAUGCCACUUUGGGCAGGUAAGUCCCCAUGGCAUGUUGCCUGAAUGCCAGCUCUAAUUUUAGGAACAUUAAUCUUUUUUUAUUUUCCCUGUGUAAUUAAUAGAUAACAUACUGAACAUACAAUAAGAAUGCAUGAGGGUGCUUGUACUCUCCUAAUUCAUAACUUGAAUACUAAUAAGUGUUGGUUUUGCUUGCUGUGAGAAUUCACACAGAUGAGAAACUCACUGGAAGCGAGAAAAAGAGAUUAAAAUGACCAAUAAAAGGAGCCGAGUCAGAUUACUUUUGUAGUGUUGACACAGUGCAUUGACUCAAGUGACCAAGCUUCCCUUACAAAGACACACUUCGUUGCCAUACCAUCAGCUCUUUCCUUUGUCCACUUUCACCACAGCCCCACAGAAGGCAUUUUAUCCCAGCCUGCCCCCAUAGCCCCUUUCAUCUCAUACUUAAAACUUUCAAAUUUUAAUGCUAUAUUAAAUGUGCUACAGAAUUCAACCAGCUGCAGAGAACAGGUAACCCCACACCCCCUGCAAACCAGGGUGAAAGAUCCUAGAAGCAGCUGGACUCUCACCAGUGGAGUCUAGUCUAAAAACUAAUAACGAAAUCCAUAUAUAUUAUCUCCAGGUUGAAAAAAAAUCUAAUACAUUGGGAAAAAUCACUCUUUUUCUUUAAAGGUGCACAUUCAGUCUGUUAAUUGAAGAGCAGACACUGGAAAUUAUCAGAUAAUUGGUUCUUGCCUUAAGUGAUUUAUUGGGCAUUGUAAUAUACAUAACAGCUCUCUCUGCUCUCAGGCCAAAGAUUUCCUCACCCAGCCGCUGCUGCUAAGUUAAUUGUCCUUGCUUGCAAAUGUAUUUGUAUCAUACGAGCCUUUCCAUUAAUGCUCUGAGAUGAAAAGUCAUAAAAUUAGAUGUGUUUUUCAAUGACACUUGAAUUGUACCUGAAUUAUAGCAAUGGCCACAGUGGUGCAGCGGUAAACAGGACACAUUGCCAUGAAGAGUCUGGAAUUUUACCGAUCUUAAGAGCUUCCAUUGUGGUCAAAAUUUACUGGUGCAACAGCAACAUCAAGAUUCAGCAAAGAAUUCAUCCCAGAUCACUUCAGCAACCAGAGCUGGUGCCUUCCCAGAAAAAUGACUGCAGUAUAUAUGGCUCCCUAGCCCACGGUGAGCCACGGUGCAACUACAGAUAGAUACACAUACAUAUGUGUGUAUAUGUAUGUAUAUGGACACACAUAACAGCUUUCAUUUUUGAAGUUGCUGCUCUUAACUGAACCGCUUUGUAUCUUCUUAAGAAAACAGACAUGUGAGGUGAAACAAUUCUGUAUCUCCAGGAUACUUAGAAAACAUCUGAAAAAAUGCACUGUUAUCUGCUAAAUUAAGAUGGCUCUUUCAAGGAGAAAGUCAACUUUCAGUUACUGGAGAGAAAGAACAUGAAUUCCAGAAAAGAAUGGGGGAAAUGUUUAUUGUAUUGUCCGGGGACUUUUUCACUCACCUCCCCAUGUAUUUUUGUGAGAUCUCAGUUAACUAUGAGGAAUAAGGGCACAUGAGCCCACCCAGUCCAAACCAUUGUGUCUUAGAGAAAUGCAUGAAAGGGCAGACUGAGAUUCUCACUGGCCAAUAUUUCCUCCAGUGCCCUGGUAUUUAAUCGGGUUGUUUUUUCUGCCUUUCUUUUUAUUGUAUGCUAUGAAUACCAUCUGCAAAAGAAAUCACAGUGCCCGUCAUUAACUGAAGCCCUUGCUGUGGACUUGGGUGCUGCCCAAACACACUACCCUGCACGAUGCCUCCCUGAGCCAGCUCCCCUCCUCACUGCCCAGUUACAGCUCUCCAGCCAUUGCUUUCCACCUGUUCUGACUAUUUUGUUGUUGUGCAGCUUCUGGUAUAAAAGAAACAGCUAUUGCUGGAGAAGAAGAGAGUAGGAAGGUCACAAACACUGUUAUGAAAUAGUAAUUCUGUUAAGAACAAUCUGAGCAUUCAACAUCACCUACCGCCGGCCCCAGUCAAACCUCUGUUAGAGUACAACUCUGCUUCUCAGCCAAGAAAACAUUUUUCAUCAGCUUAGUUAUUUCAAAAGAAACUUGAAUGCAAAUCUGACAUUAGGUGGGGAAGCAGAUGCGUUUGGUGAGAGUCUUACAGCUGUGAAAUGAGAGUGAUGCAAUGCUAUUUUUUCAAUUGUUUUUUUCUGAUUAUUGCUUCCAGAUAUUGAAAACUGCUGUUUUCCAAUGGGAAAAUAACCAAAGCUGAAAGACAUCAUUAUUAUCAUGCCUAGAUGACAAAAUAAUGCUCCUUUCCUUCCUGUCCUUCCUUUCUUUCCUUGCUUCCUUCCUUUCCUUCUUUCUUUUCCAUUUUUAGAAUAGAUUUAAGGAUUUAUAUAACUCACACCAGAAAGCAAACCCUUGUGUAUCGCUCAAGAGCUAGACAUGUAGUAAGGGCACUAAAGGGUACACGUGCACCCUGAGUCAAUUAAUUGUUUUGCCCUGAUCUGUGAGCUCAUGCUAAAGAAGACUUCAAAAUCCUUGAGUUCUGCUCUGCUUAUAUUCCAGACAGAGGUACUAACUUUGGUCAUUUCUCAUGCAGUGAGUCACAACUCCAGUCAGCCCUUCUCUCCCUUUCUCUGUCACACAUGAAAAAUCCCUGAGGCCAUCUAUCCCUAAUCAGACUGAUUAUAAUUCAGUUCCAAUUCAGCAAAUAUAAAACAACAAAAGCACUGGAACAGGACAGAAAUCUGGCCCGAAGAGCUACAAAUCUAUGAAAAAUAACACUGUUCAACAGUUGUCCAGAUUUAAUUUUAGGAUAAACAUUAGAACACAUCACCUGGGAUUGAUUUAAUAUUUGUGGUACUAAUUUAGAUCAUUUAAUUUGCAGAAUUUUUGGUUCAUCAUCUGUUCCCACAGCUCAGUCAAUACUGUGGCUCAGCUCACAAAGGGAAUUGAUCUGAAGGCCAUUCUUUACAAGACAGAUUAAUUUUUGUUGAUUGAUUGAUUGGACUCUUUCCACUACGCAUACUAAUUCUGGACCAUUUAAAGCUUAUAAGGUUUUAUAUUGAGAUUCAUUGAUUUCACAGUUAUAAAAUGAUGAAUGGGUUUUCAGCCAAGAGAAGGCAAUUGAUGUAAGCUUGAGGAGAGAGACCAAGAUAAUCAGUAUAUAGUGGAAAGUGCAGAGCUGCAAUGUUCCCUCUGUUUCUGUCCAGAUUUUCCCCAGAUGGAAGGGGAUCAAAGCAAUAGUAGGGCCAUGUUGGGCACUUUUGCCAAGUCUGCACCGCAGGCUUUGCUGCUUCCCAGCCCUGAUGUCCAGGUAAAGAUCUCCUGAUUAAAACAGAACUGGAGAAGCCAGCCUAUCCCUGGCUUCAUCAUAGCCACCAACCAUACACUUCUUACAGCCUAUGGUUCUGCCUUUUCUUCUUCUUUUUCUCUUUCUUUUUCUCUUUCUCUUUUUUUUCUUCUUUUUCUUUUUCUUUUCCUUUUUCUUUUCCUUUUCCUUUUCUUCUCUUCUCUCUUACUGGGGCUUAUUGAGGGUUUUUAUCAUUCUUCUUCAAUGCUCUAAAAUCACAUAUCCUCCCUGGGAAAGAAUUUAAGUAUUCUGAUUGUUAGAAUGUGCUUUCAUGUAAAAGUGCAACAUACAUGGUGCAAUAUAUUCAUGUAUGUUGCCAAAGGUACCCAAACUAAUAUCAUUUUAAGAUAAAAUAUUGUGUCUUUAAAAGUGUUUUUGUAAUUAAUUUCCUUGUACUUCUAGAAGGACAAGACAAAGAAAUUAAGAUAAUUGUCCAUGUUUCAGAAGAUUUUGUAUCCACUAAGUUAUCUCCUAAAAUUUGCAGGAUAAAAUCGAUCUCAGCAUCCUAUUUUCUAUAGUCAGCCCCCACACAGCUGGGAAACGUAAGCCUUUUAUUCAGUGUUUUUUCCAGGCAGUGUUUAAAGUGUUACCAAAAAGUCUUGGACUUGUAGCACUGGCGGGGAUCUUGUCACUGAGGAAUACCAGCUGAGAGAGCACUUUGCCUUCUGUAUCAGCUGUUUGGUUUUCCAGUAUGGAUGGAGGACUGUUCUUCAGAGGCUGAGCCUCAUUUGCAUCUGGUUCCUCUCAUCAGACUGCUACAUUCAGUAACCUUCAGCUUACAAAGCAUUUCUCAAUAUUUUAGAUUAUAAAGUCUGGAUGGCUAGGAAAUAAGCACCACCACAAGUAAAUAAUAAAGACGUGAAUCUGGAAUAUGGUCCUGCACCGGACAUGUUAAGCAUCUUCUCCAGAGGAAAGCCAUCCAGCUUGGAAUCUGUAGAAUUCUUUUGGUUAAAAGAACUUGAUCUCAAGCCUCUUUCUUUCUCCAGGUCAUACUGUCAGGAUUUAGUUUCACAGACCAUUCACUACUUUGUACGCUCCUCACAAAUAUCACCUUGGAAGGAGAUUUAUCUCUCUCUACAGAGAGAGAAACGCAAGCUGCUUCAAUUUUAUCUAGUUGUCAUACUGUGUGUAUUACGAACUACCACUUCAGUCCACUUCUUGUUCCAUCAAAUGGCUUCAAAGCAGGUGAUACAUAGAUGGUCAAGGAGGAAAGCACUUCAGGGCAAAGUGUUUUCUGAGCUACACUUGUAAAUGAGCAGUAACUUUUGAUUUCAUUGCAGUAACACUGGUUUCCACACCACUAUAUUUAUCUGUCACUUUAUUUUUCUCUUCCAUCAGAGAGAUUUGUAGACAUGUUGUAUUUAGAGACGUUGUCACGCUGAAAAAUAAAACUACCACCCAACAUUUUACUAGUUAGAAUUAAUUUGACAUGCAACUUAUCAUUUUGCAUAUCACUGGACUAUAGCCUUUUCAAUUACACCAUUUCUUUGCAACUCCAAUUAAACUGUUAAUUGAUGUCACUAUUGUCAAAUUGCAAGGGUUUUUUUUACAUACAAAUAGCAAGGAAAAAAGAGAGAAGAUCCAGAAUUAAUAGAAAAUAGCAGCAGGUUUCCAGUCUCAGACUACUUUCUGUAUCUUUAUAAGACCACUAUACUAUGCUGGCUGAGAGUUGCAAGAAAAUAUGUACUUAUAUAUUUUGUUAAUGAUAGCAUCGUUCUUGUGUGCUCUGAAAUUAGGACACUUUCUCAAACAAAGGCUGUACAACCAAGUACUAACAGGACUCUUGGGUAUGCUUCAGAAGCUAGAGCUAGAAUUCUUCAAAGCCUGCCCAAAGAGAAUGUUUCUCAAGCUUUUCCUAUAAAAAAAAAAUUCUGGAAAAAAAAAUUUAUAAAAACAGCUGAACAACCAAUUCUAUUGCUUGCCCUCUGCAACAUCAGCAUCAUGGUACUCAUAUCCAAAGAAGCCAAAAUAAAUUUUCUGUACCGGUUCAUGAUUAUUUUCACCCUUCUAGUUUAUUUGCUUUUUUGCACACAUGGAAAUGUAUGUAUGCAAUUGUAUUUGUACAUUUGCAGAUAUCUCACAGGCUGUUUUUCCAUAUUGCACACAAACACAACCACAGCCAAAAGGUUUUGAAGCCUGACUGCUGUUAUGCUGUGAGGCA
Long non-coding RNA from Gallus gallus (chicken), 5958 nucleotides. The record is from Ensembl. NCBI's taxonomy places the organism in Eukaryota, Metazoa, Chordata, Aves, Galliformes, Phasianidae.